AGUAACGCGUGAGGAACCUGCCUCAAAGAGGGGGACAACAGUUGGAAACGACUGCUAAUACCGCAUAAGCCCACGGCUCGGCAUCGAGCAGAGGGAAAAGGAGUGAUCCACUUUGAGAUGGCCUCGCGUCCGAUUAGCUAGUUGGUGAGGUAACGGCCCACCAAGGCGACGAUCGGUAGCCGGACUGAGAGGUUGAACGGCCACAUUGGGACUGAGACACGGCCCAG
RNAcentral lists this ribosomal RNA (227 nucleotides) under uncultured bacterium. RNAcentral describes it as "partial 16S ribosomal RNA". It matches the Rfam family "Bacterial small subunit ribosomal RNA", at positions 109 to 334 of the family's 1533-position model. The record is from RNAcentral.